This is a non-coding RNA of Salmo salar (Atlantic salmon), 54 nucleotides long. NCBI's taxonomy places the organism in Eukaryota, Metazoa, Chordata, Actinopteri, Salmoniformes, Salmonidae. The record is from Rfam.
UGCAUUCACUACUGUAAGUCGCUCUGGAUAAGAGCGUCUGCUAAAUUACAAAAU